This 490-nucleotide ribosomal RNA is filed under the name uncultured bacterium. Its description in RNAcentral is "partial 16S ribosomal RNA". It matches the Rfam family "Bacterial small subunit ribosomal RNA", at positions 30 to 507 of the family's 1533-position model. The record is from RNAcentral.
AUUGAACGCUGGCGGCAGGCCUAACACAUGCAAGUCGAACGGUAACAGGAAACAGCUUGCUGUUUCGCUGACGAGUGGCGGACGGGUGAGUAAUGUCUGGGAAACUGCCUGAUGGAGGGGGAUAACUACUGGAAACGGUAGCUAAUACCGCAUAACGUCGCAAGACCAAAGAGGGGGACCUUCGGGCCUCUUGCCAUCGGAUGUGCCCAGAUGGGAUUAGCUAGUAGGUGGGGUAACGGCUCACCUAGGCGACGAUCCCUAGCUGGUCUGAGAGGAUGACCAGCCACACUGGAACUGAGACACGGUCCAGACUCCUACGGGAGGCAGCAGUGGGGAAUAUUGCACAAUGGGCGCAAGCCUGAUGCAGCCAUGCCGCGUGUAUGAAGAAGGCCUUCGGGUUGUAAAGUACUUUCAGCGGGGAUGAAGGGAGUAAAGUUAAUACCUUGGCUCAUUGACGUUACCCGCAGAAGAAGCACCGGCUAACUCCGUG